ACACGUAUGAAAGUCAAGCUGAAAGACUUUACUCAAUGAUGUAAGUGGUGGUGCAUGGCCGUUCUUAGUUCGUGGAUUGGUUUGUCUGGUUUAUUUCGAUAACGAGCGAGACCUCAGCGUUCCUAAUAGGGGUGAUAGCCCGGCCGGCCGCAAGGCCGGCUAGCUAACACUUAAGAUGUACUUCUUAGACGUAUCAGAGCCGAUAAGGUUCUUGAAAUGGGUUAAUAACAGGUCAGUGAUGCCCUUAGAUGUUCUGGGCCGCACGCGCGUUACAUUGGCAUGUAAAGCGCGUGCUGGCUAACAGUGAGACCCGGACCGAAAGGUCCCGGGGAAUCGCUUAGUCCCUGCCUAGACUGGGAUAGAUCUUUGAAAUUAUUGGUCUUAAACGAGGAAUUUUUAGUAAUCGCAGGUCAUUAGCCGCGAUGA
Molecule: ribosomal RNA, 426 nt
Filed under: Fuligo septica
Lineage: Eukaryota; Evosea; Eumycetozoa; Physariida; Physaraceae
Description: SSU rRNA
Rfam family: Eukaryotic small subunit ribosomal RNA
Source: RNAcentral